ACUCGAGUGGCGAACGGGUGAGUAACACGUGGGUGAUCUGCCCUGCACUUCGGGAUAAGCCUGGGAAACUGGGUCUAAUACCGGAUAGGACGAUGGUUUGGAUGCCAUUGUGGAAAGUUUUUCGGUGUGGGAUGAGCUCGCGGCCUAUCAGCUUGUUGGUGGGGUAAUGGCCUACCGAGGCGGCGACGGGUAGCCGGCCUGAGAGGGUGGACGGCCACAUUGGGACUGAGAUACGGCCCAG
RNAcentral lists this ribosomal RNA (241 nucleotides) under uncultured Actinomycetales bacterium. RNAcentral's name for it is "partial 16S ribosomal RNA". It matches the Rfam family "Bacterial small subunit ribosomal RNA", at positions 89 to 334 of the family's 1533-position model. Lineage: Bacteria; Bacillati; Actinomycetota; Actinomycetes; Actinomycetales. The record is from RNAcentral.